GAGUUUGAUUCUGGCUCAGGAUGAACGCUGGCGGCGUGCCUAACACAUGCAAGUCGAACGAAGAAUUUUUUGGAAGUUUUCGGAUGGAAGAAAAAUUACUUAGUGGCGGACGGGUGAGUAACGCGUAAGUAAUCAACCUAUAACACACGAAUAACUAAGAGAAAUCUUAGCUAAUACGAGAUGAAGUAAGUAUAUCGGGAGAUAUAAAUAUGAAAGCUGAGGCGGUUGUAGACGAGCUUGCGUCUGAUUAGCUAGUUGGUAGGGUAAGAGCCUACCAAGGCGACGAUCAGUAGCCGGCCUGAGAGGGUGAACGGCCACAUUGGAACUGAGAGACGGUCCAAACUCCUACGGGAGGCAGCAGUGGGGGAUAUUGCACAAUGGGCGAAAGCCUGAUGCAGCAACGCCGCGUGAGCGAAGAAGGCUUUCGAGUCGUAAAGCUCUGUCGUAUGGGAAGAAAAAAAUGACA
RNAcentral lists this ribosomal RNA (466 nucleotides) under Peptostreptococcaceae bacterium canine oral taxon 047. Its description in RNAcentral is "bacterial SSU rRNA". It matches the Rfam family "Bacterial small subunit ribosomal RNA", at positions 9 to 459 of the family's 1533-position model. Lineage: Bacteria; Bacillati; Bacillota; Clostridia; Peptostreptococcales; Peptostreptococcaceae. The record is from RNAcentral.